UUGGUUAUGUUAUUAUUCUUCGUUGGUUCGUUUAAUGAAAAACACUUUGCUACAAGAAAUAAUGGAAAUUUUAUAACGAAUUUAAUAAAAUGUUUUUAUCAUUAUAAAUAAAGAAUUAAUGGCAAGAACAAGUUUUAUACAACCUCAACUCAUAUGGGACUACCCCCUGAAUUUAAGCAUAUUAAUUAGGGGAGGAAAAGAAACUAACAAGGAUUUUCUUAGUAGCGGCGAGCGAAAAGAAAACAGUUCAGCACUAAGUCACUUUGUCUAUAUGGCAAAUGUGAGAUGCAGUGUAUGGAGCGUCAAUAUUCUAGUAUGAGAAAUUAACGAUUUAAGUCCUUCUUAAAUGAGGCCAUUUACCCAUAGAUGGUGCCAGGCCCGUAUAACGUUAAUGAUUACUAGAUGAUGUCUCCAUCUAAAACUAAAUAUAACCAUGAGACCGAUAGUAAACAAGUACCGUGAGGAAAAUUGAAAAGAAUAGAGAGUGCGUUAAUUAUUCGGAAUAUAAUGGCAUAAUUAUCAUUGAUUUUUGGGUUUAUUAUAUGAUAUUUAUUGUAUGAUUAACAAUGCGAAAGAUUCAGGAUACCUUCGGGACCCGUUUUGAAACACGGACCAAGGAGUCUAACAUAUGUGCAAGUUAUUGGGAUAUAAACCUAAUAGCGUAAUAAGGAUUAGUUUUUUAACUAUUUAUAGCUAAUUAACACAAUCCCGGGGCGUUCUAUAUAGUUAUGUAUAAUGUUUAUUUAUAUUAUUUAUGCCUCUAACUGGAACGUACCUUGAGCAUAUAUGCUGUGAGCCGAAAGAUGGUGAACUAUACUUGAUCAGGUUGAAGUCAAGGGAAACCCUGAUGGAAGACCGAAACAGUUCUGACGUGCAAAUCGAUUGUCAGAAUUGAGUAUAGGGGCGAAAGACCAACCGAACCAUCUAGUAGCUUGUUCCUUCCGAAGUUUCGUUCAGGAUAGCUGGUGCAUUUUAAUAUUAUAUAAAAUAAUCUUAUCUGGUAAAGCGAAUGAUUAGAGCCCUUAGGGUCGAAACGAUCUUAACCUAUUCUCAAACUUUAAAUAGGUAAGUACCUUAACUUUCAUGAUAUGAAGUUCAAGGUUAUUAUAUAAUGUGCCCAGUGGACCACUUUUGGUAAGUUACGGUGCCCAAAUUAACAACUCAUGCAGAUACCAUGAAAGGCGUUGGUUGCUUAAAACAGCAGGACGGUGAUCAUGGCAGUCGAAAUCCGCUAAGGAGUGUGUAACAACUCACCUGCCGAAGCUAGCCCUUAAAAUGGCUGGCGCUUAAGUUGUAUACCUACACAUUACCGCUAAAGUAGAUGAUUUAUAUUACUUGUGAUAUAAAUUUUGAAACUUUAGUGAGUAGGAAGGUACAAUGGUAUGCGUAGAAGUGUUUGGCGUAAGCCUUCAUGGAGCUGCCAUUGAUACAGAUCUUGGUGGUAGUAGCAAAUAAUCGAAUGAGAUUUUGGAGGACUGAAGUGGAGAAGGGUUUCGUGUGAACAGUGGUUGAUCACGAGUUAGUCGGUCUUAAGCUUUAGGCGAAAGCCGAAAAUUUCAAGUAAAACAAAAAUGCCAAAUUAUAUAAACAAAGCGAAAAUUAUACACUUGAAUAAUUUUGAACGAAAGAGAAUACGUGUCCAAUUCCGUAACCUGUUAUUAAAUAUGGGCCUCGUGCUCAUCCUGGCAACAGGAACGACCAUAAAGAAGCCGUCGAGAGAUAUCGGAAGAGUUUUCUUUUCUGUUUUAUAGCCGUACUACCAUGGAAGUCUUUCGCAGAGAGAUAUGGUAGAUGGGCUAGAAGAGCCACCGCGGACCUUGAAAAUUUAUGGUGGGGACACGCAUACUUCUCAUCAGGCCAAUAUCCGCAGCUGGUCUCCAAGGUGAAGAGUCUCUAGUCAAUAGAAUAAUGUAGGUAAGGGAUGUCGG
This 1928-nucleotide ribosomal RNA is filed under the name Drosophila erecta. Its description in RNAcentral is "eukaryotic LSU rRNA". It matches the Rfam family "Eukaryotic large subunit ribosomal RNA", at positions 1 to 1917 of the family's 3401-position model. Lineage: Eukaryota; Metazoa; Arthropoda; Insecta; Diptera; Drosophilidae. The record is from RNAcentral.